RNAcentral lists this ribosomal RNA (443 nucleotides) under uncultured bacterium. Its description in RNAcentral is "partial 16S ribosomal RNA". It matches the Rfam family "Bacterial small subunit ribosomal RNA", at positions 338 to 795 of the family's 1533-position model. The record is from RNAcentral.
CCUACGGGAGGCUGCAGUGGGGGAUAUUGGACAAUGGGGGAAACCCUGAUCCAGCGACGCCGCGUGAGUGAAGAAGUAUUUCGGUUUGUAAAGCUCUAUCAGCAGGGAAGAAAGAAAUGACGGUACCGGAGUAAGAAGCCCCGGCUAACUACGUGCCAGCAGCCGCGGUAAUACGUAGGGGGCAAGCGUUAUCCGGAAUUACUGGGUGUAAAGGGAGAGUAGACGGUAAAGCAAGUCUGGAGUGAAAGGCGGGGGCCCAACCCCCGGACUGCUCUGGAAACUGUGUAACUGGAGUGCAGGAGAGGCAGGCGGAAUGCCUAGUGUAGCGGUGAAAUGCGUAGAUAUUAGGAGGAACACCAGUGGCGAAGGCGGCCUGCUGGACUGUAACUGACGUUGAGGCUCGAAAGCGUGGGGAGCAAACAGGAUUAGAUACCCCUGUAGUC